Long non-coding RNA from Oncorhynchus mykiss (rainbow trout), 4595 nucleotides. The record is from Ensembl. Lineage: Eukaryota; Metazoa; Chordata; Actinopteri; Salmoniformes; Salmonidae.
AUGACGAAGGAACAGCUUGCCAAAUUGUGCAAGACAAUUGUAACCUUCAUCGCACAGACCACCCUGCAGAUCCUGCUGCCAGCCCUGGCCCGCAUACUUGGGGUAAAGGACUUUGCUGACGACGACACUGACUCACCCAAGAGGGGUGGCAGUGCAAGAUCCUUUGCUGCCUUUGAUCAGGAAAGACUGGAGCUCAUCCAGGAAGUUAGAUAUCUGGCGAAGAAAAUGUAUAAUGCUCAACAUCUCAGGUCCCUAACACCCUCUUCUAAGAGUUCCCAGACCUCAGUGAAAGUCCUCCUGGGAAUGACAGAGGACAGAAUCAUCAAAAGUGUCCAGGAGCAACUGUCUGAUCAUAAUAUCCUGUCCUCUUGCCCACCUGAGCUGACUGUUGGUCUUAUCAAGGUGGUGGUCGAACAGCUUAACUCUGCCCUCUCUGCGACCAUCAGCAGAGCCAUUUCAGGGCGGUCCUCCCCUAUUUCUUCUGGUACCCAGGCCGCUGAACAAAUGGUCAACAUGGUCCAGAAAUGUUUUGAUGAUCACACCACCCCAGAGGACCAGAGCUCUACCUCUGUAUUAGAGUCAUGCAUUCCACCUGCAACAGAAGAAGUGAUGACUGUUAUCGCAGAGAUGGUGGGUGAAUUGGAAAAAGAAGAUCCGGAAUUGGCUAAGGUUUUUCGAGAAGUGGCUGUGAAAGUUAAAAUGUUGGCAUCUGGCAGUGACCUUGUAGUGGAGCACCUGGAUGUUGAAGACUCUCCUGUUCCAGAGGAGCUGAACAUAAUAUGUACAUCUUGCAAAGCAAUGAUGCAAAAUCUUGGCACUCUGUUUAGUGUGAAGUUCAAGACCAAAGCCUCAAAGGCUGUGAGUGAAAUUCUUGUGAGAAGGUUAAUGAGCGAUAUCUCUGGUAUGGUUCAACCUUCUCAUUCGUUUAGUACCACUCCAAGCUUGAUGAAUGCAUCUAGCCCAUCUGACAGGAUCCUUGAUUCUGCGGCCACUGAGCUCAUACAGACCAAAGUAGAAUCUGAGGCAUCAAAAAUAAUUGAUAACUUUGUUGAAGAUGUCAAGGACAUUGUGCAGUAUGCUGAAUUAGAUCAGCCAACAAGCACCCAGAGAGAUACCCAAGUGGGACACUGUACGACAAAGCGGAAACCCUUCCAUGCAGCUCGUAGACUCUGCGAGAGACUUCAGGCAAAGCUGGAGACAUUGUUCCUCAGAAUGGGUGGAGCUCCAGUCCAAGGGGAAGAACUUAUGGAAAAAGCUGACUCCAGUGCUGUGCUUCUGGAGCAUACUGACUCCAGUGAUCUGCCUGUUUCAAUCCUGAGCUUGCCUUCCCCAUGUAGGAGUGAAUCCCCUAUAUCAGAACGUAGUUCAUCUUCUUUAUCUGAUGGAUGUGAUUCAACUGACUCUGUAGGAGAGAAAACACCAGAGCAACCUGAAACCAGUAAGAGUGAGGCAAUACUGCAAGUGGUCAACUCAACAGGACUUGGUUCUCUCCGUAAAUGCCAAAGUGAGAACUCUCAACCAUUACUGUCUCUCUGUGAUUCCAACAUGGUGCCCUGCACCAAAGAGGUCUUGUCCCAGAUUGUGACCAUGUAUAGGUCAGAGGUGGCAGAUUUGGAAUGCACAUCAUCUGUUGCAGAGGGUUCCUCUUACAACUCCCUUGAAGUCUGUGGCUUUUUGGACAGUGUCAUGUCUUAUCUAGAAGACAUGCCUGUGUCUGGUUCUUCAUGGUUGGAAGGAUUAAGAGAUACUCCAGCCUCAGUCAUUGAGAAACUCUCCAGUGAGGAGUUCCAGAAGAACGCUACCAACGAAGUGCGAAAAAUACUGAUCAAAUCAGUCAGUAGCUUUCCCAGCAAAGUCAGUUCCAGCCAGACAGAUUCUCAGAUGUUGCCAGCAAAAUCAACAAUUUCCUUAAGGCAUACAGAUAUAACUGCUUUUGAAAUCGUUGGAUCAAUUACAAAUGACAUGAAGAGCCUUUUCCCACCCACAGAGUCUUCUACUACUCUAUGGCAGGCAGACUCUAUGCUUCAACAGAGUGAUGAGAAAACCUCAGAGUACACUGAGGCCACACCCAAAGGCUCACAGUCUGGUUUGGAAGUAUCUGAGAAGAAGAUCUGGACAACUGCAAAGACUAUUUACCACAAUGUGAAGACAAAGAUGAGGAAUUAUUUUACAUGGCAAAAUCAAGUCAAAGCAACAACGGCUCAAGCCAAAAAGACCCUCAGCCAUAUUCUGGUUUCAAUUCAGAAAGAGCUGUCAAAAUCUGACCAAACGGUGACUGCGCUUUCACAAAUAGAGAAUGUGGUUGGAAUGAUGCUGAAGGAUGUUGAAAGGGUAAGCAGUGAAUGUGGUGAGGAACUGAUCUAUCAAGCGCCACAGCGUUCUUCCUCCUCGUUGUCAUCCUCAUCUGCCAGAUCAAAGAAAUCAGAGUGGGAAUUUUCACUCCCUGGCACUCCCAUCUCUUCUGAUUUACCAGAGAGUAUUACUCAGCCCAUUGUGAGAUGCUCAGUCAUCGACAUGGGCAAAUCUACUAAGCCAAAAACAUCAGUGUGUGAUGCCAGGGAAAGCAUGUCUGCAAUAGUGGAUACCAUCAUAAAGGAGGUACAUCCAGAGGAAGAAGGGGAGGUUGCAUUCCACCCUGAUCUAUCAGCUGCAAUAGCAAGACUGGAGGAGCUCAUAUCUCAGGGUAGGAUUGGUGCUCUCUCACGUGAUCUUACUCACCAAGUCAACCGCAUCAUUUCUGAGAGCAACUUGACCCCUCUGGUUCUGACAGUGGCGGCUGGAAAGAGUGCAUCCGAUACAGUCCUUACUGAGCUGAAGAGGAAUGACAAGACGGUGGGGAAGCCCACAGCUUACAAGCUGGUUCAGCUUUUUGCAGAGGAGUCUGUGAAGCGCCUCUUGCUUCCUAGCCUUGUGCCCUCUACAGCUUCAAUGAGUUUGGCUCAGGGAGUUAGUGUGCCGGCUAGCGUAUCUGAAGAUAGGAUUUCAUGUUCUUUUUCUACAUCAGCAUUUAGUGACACAGUCAGCCUGUUUACCAAAGUAAUGGUAAGCCAGGUCAUGGACUCUGUGGUUUCUGAUGCACAAAGCAUAGGGGCAUCUCCAACCGGAACUUUAACUGAUAUAGGCAGUCUACUGAGUGGUAAGUCCUACCCUCUGCCAUCUUUCUCCGCCAUCAGCAUGACAACAAGUGGGACCUCCAAUGCUGCACGAGGCUUUGAGGCCAACAUAGAUGCUGAGGAAAGGGAUACCAUCAGUUGUUUCGGUGUACCUCAGAGCAUUGUUUGUGAUCAGAAUUCAACCAGCCCGGAUGUUGCUUCGCUUUCAACCCCAUCCACUGACAACUUAGUCGGUGAUGAUGACUUCACCGGCCUCAUCAGCAUGUUAGUGGUGAGACUUCUGUCAAAAAUCCAAACCCAAACUGAUCUGUACCCAACUGACGUCACACGCACGUCACAAGACCUGAUUCCAAAAGUUAUAGCUGCCUUCUGUGCAUGGUCAGGCUGCUCUGAGACCCAAGCUUAUCCCAAGAACCUGAAGAGUCACAAAGUAUACAGCACCGUCUACAAACAUCUGUUGAAGGAGUUUGGCUCAGAGAAAAUACUCCAACUGGCCGUGUCGACUCAGGACUCCACUUUCAAUAGGAUUCUUGUGAAGUCAUUGAGCAAGGAGCUUCUCCACAGUUGUAACGAGGCAUCAAGAGCAGCCUCAAGAACAUCUUUCGAUGCCACCAGGCCAGAAGCUCUUCUCAUGGCUGAAGAUGUGAAGGCUACCAGAGGGAAGCUGUCUUUCCUACAAAGGCUUGCCAGACUGAAAUUCAACUUAAAGGUACAUCACACUUAUUUAAGUUAACAAUUGUGUCAAUGUGAGUAAACAAUGUUAUUUAGAGAAAAUGUAAAACCAUCCAUUAAUUCCAAAACCAUUUAUAAAUCUUGUUGUGCUGGUGUGUAAGAUGUGAUCGUUAUUACCGUGAGAUUGUUCUGCUGUGACAGUUGUUUUGACAUGUUUUUGUUUUAGCCAUUCAUGAUGGGAAACAAGAAGGAUUCCAAUAAGAAUUCCCGCCAUUCUGAAUCCAAAGACCAGACUACUGCUGAAGAUAUCAUGUGUAAGUCCAUACAGCAGGACAUUUACUGUUUGAGAUAUUGGUGUACAAAGCUGCUAUUGCAAAAAUAUUAAACCCUAUAUACAGUACAUUAUAUAUUAUCGAUAGUAAUCUCUUAUGUAAAAUUAUUUAUAGUUUCCAAAUCUCAAGAUUCUGGUUCUCAUUUAUUUGUGAAAGUAAAAAUGAGUUGAAACUAAGAAUACAAUAUACCAUCAUUUCUAAAUGAAAGUGCAUGUCAACUCUCUCUCUCUUCUGUCGCCCAACAUAGUGGCACAUCCUGCCACAUUUGGACUCCCAGAGGGUCUUAUCUCCACCUGUCAACAGGAGAAGCCUCGCAAACGUCCCCUUCUAAUCAGGAUGUUUUCCACCAUCUCCAUAGGCCUAUCCAAGCCAUUCAAACGGUUUUCAAAGCAAGCUUAAUACAACAAUUUCCUUUAAUACAGUAAUAUUUGCAUUGAAUUGAUGGCCUUUGUCUUCUUUUGUGUUGCCCUGUUAACAC